AACCCAAGCACAAAAAGAUUCACCACACUCUCUUUACCAAUGGUCUCUCCCGGAACCUUUAAAUGGUGUCUGGACCCCCGGGGAAACAUUUGCCCAAACACCCUGAAGAGGACACAGGCAAGAAAGACAACCACCACAUUCCUUGAUGAGGAGCAGCUGUGCAGGAUCUGAAUCAAGGCUACCAACUGAUUUUAAAAUUCCCAAUAAAUAAUCAAUAAAUAUU
Oreochromis niloticus (Nile tilapia) is the source of this 223-nucleotide long non-coding RNA. RefSeq lists it as uncharacterized. NCBI's taxonomy places the organism in Eukaryota, Metazoa, Chordata, Actinopteri, Cichliformes, Cichlidae. The transcript has 2 exons. The record is from RefSeq and is a predicted model, not a curated record.